GUGAGGAAUAUUGGUCAAUGGGCGAGAGCCUGAACCAGCCAAGUCGCGUGAAGGAAGAAGGAUCUAUGGUUCGUAAACUUCUUUUGCAGGGGAAUAAAGUGCAGGACGUGUCCUGUUUUGUAUGUACCCUGAGAAUAAGGAUCGGCUAACUCCGUGCCAGCAGCCGCGGUAAUACGGAGGAUCCGAGCGUUAUCCGGAUUUAUUGGGUUUAAAGGGUGCGUAGGUGGUUUGAUAAGUCAGCGGUGAAAGUUUGCAGCUUAACUGUAAAAAUGCCGUUGAAACUGUCGGACUUGAGUGUAAAUGAGGUAGGCGGAAUGCGUGGUGUAGCGGUGAAAUGCAUAGAUAUCACGCAGAACUCCGAUUGCGAAGGCAGCUUACUAAGCUACAACUGACACUGAAGCACGAAAGCGUGGGGAUCAAACAGGAUUAGAUACCCUGGUAGUCC
This 445-nucleotide ribosomal RNA is filed under the name uncultured bacterium. RNAcentral's name for it is "partial 16S ribosomal RNA". It matches the Rfam family "Bacterial small subunit ribosomal RNA", at positions 354 to 796 of the family's 1533-position model. The record is from RNAcentral.